Molecule: long non-coding RNA, 760 nt
Organism: Oncorhynchus tshawytscha (Chinook salmon)
Lineage: Eukaryota; Metazoa; Chordata; Actinopteri; Salmoniformes; Salmonidae
Source: Ensembl
AAGACCCCUAAGCAAGCGGCACCAUGAAGACCAAGGAGCUCUCCAAACAGUCCCAUACAGGUGGCAAACUCUCCAGGCAGUCGAGUGCAAAUCGUCUCAACCCACAGGACAAGAGUGAGACCCGCCCAACCUCUUCCCCAGUGGGGCCAGCUCCCAAACCAGCGGCCGGUCCAAGGAAGGCAGAGGCCCACAAAGACCUAGCAACGAUUUCACUGUAACGCACCUGAUUCCUGUUGUUCAAACUAUCCCUGUUGCGUCUCUACUGACCUCUUAGGUUACCUGUCGUUUCUGUUAUGCUUAGUUACAUACUUUGUCUGCAUUUUCCAUAUCAAACUCACUGACAGUCUGAGUCGUUUCAAAAUACACAUUAAAAAGUAGAUGGGGAAACUCAAAGGGAGUGUUCAUCUCUCUUAUUUAUUCCGUUGGGCAUAAUUCAUGAUUUAUUAGUGGUUCACUGGGUUGUGUAGCUGUUAGUGUUUUCUAUGCACUGUAAAAGUAUACUUUUCUAUUUCUUUCAGUAUCCUAACGGGCAAAUUUGGUAUGAAAGAUCUUCAAAGUGCUUUGUUUUCCCCCACAAAUGUCAUUAACAUAAAACUAGUCCAACAUUCAUUAGUAGUCAGUGGCGACCAGGGGUGCAAGCUUGUCUGCUGUUUAUUAUUUUCAUUGAGCUGUUCUUAGGAUGAUUUAAGAAUGCUUGCCAAGCAUUAUGAGAAGGAACUAAUGUACAGAAACUCCAUUAUUUUGUGUUCAAUAAACAUAA